UUGUGAGGUUAAGCGACUAAGCGUACACGGUGGAUGCCCUGGCAGUCAGAGGCGAUGAAGGGCGUACUAAUCUGCGAUAAGCGCCGGUAAGGUGAUAUGAACCGUUAUAACCGGCGAUACCCGAAUGGGGAAACCCAGUGUGAUUCGUCACACUAUCAUUAACUGAAUCCAUAGGUUAAUGAGGCGAACCGGGGGAACUGAAACAUCUAAGUACCCCGAGGAAAAGAAAUCAACCGAGAUUCCCCCAGUAGCGGCGAGCGAACGGGGAGGAGCCCAGAGCCUGAAUCAGCAUGUGUGUUAGUGGAAGCGUCUGGAAAGGCGCGCGAUACAGGGUGACAGCCCCGUACACAAAAGCGCAUGUGCUGUGAGCUCGAUGAGUAGGGCGGGACACGUGGUAUCCUGUCUGAAUAUGGGGGGACCAUCCUCCAAGGCUAAAUACUCCUGACUGACCGAUAGUGAACCAGUACCGUGAGGGAAAGGCGAAAAGAACCCCGGCGAGGGGAGUGAAAAAGAACCUGAAACCGUGUACGUACAAGCAGUGGGAGCACAGGUUUACCUGUGUGACUGCGUACCUUUUGUAUAAUGGGUCAGCGACUUAUAUUCUGUAGCAAGGUUAACCGAAUAGGGGAGC
RNAcentral lists this ribosomal RNA (631 nucleotides) under Salmonella enterica subsp. enterica serovar Enteritidis. RNAcentral describes it as "partial 23S ribosomal RNA". It matches the Rfam family "Bacterial large subunit ribosomal RNA", at positions 1 to 666 of the family's 2925-position model. The record is from RNAcentral. Lineage: Bacteria; Pseudomonadati; Pseudomonadota; Gammaproteobacteria; Enterobacterales; Enterobacteriaceae.